RNAcentral lists this ribosomal RNA (752 nucleotides) under uncultured Comamonadaceae bacterium. RNAcentral describes it as "bacterial SSU rRNA". It matches the Rfam family "Bacterial small subunit ribosomal RNA", at positions 28 to 776 of the family's 1533-position model. The record is from RNAcentral. Lineage: Bacteria; Pseudomonadati; Pseudomonadota; Betaproteobacteria; Burkholderiales; Comamonadaceae.
AUUGAACGCUGGCGGCAUGCCUUACACAUGCAAGUCGAACGGCAGCACGGGAGCAAUCCUGGUGGCGAGUGGCGAACGGGUGAGUAAUACAUCGGAACGUGCCCAAUCGUGGGGGAUAACGCAGCGAAAGCUGUGCUAAUACCGCAUACGAUCUACGGAUGAAAGCAGGGGAUCGCAAGACCUUGCGCGAAUGGAGCGGCCGAUGGCAGAUUAGGUAGUCGGUGAGGUAAAGGCUCACCAAGCCGUCGAUCUGUAGCUGGUCUGAGAGGACGACCAGCCACACUGGGACUGAGACACGGCCCAGACUCCUACGGGAGGCAGCAGUGGGGAAUUUUGGACAAUGGGCGAAAGCCUGAUCCAGCCAUGCCGCGUGCAGGAUGAAGGCCUUCGGGUUGUAAACUGCUUUUGUACGGAACGAAACGGCCUUUUCUAAUAAAGAGGGCUAAUGACGGUACCGUAAGAAUAAGCACCGGCUAACUACGUGCCAGCAGCCGCGGUAAUACGUAGGGUGCAAGCGUUAAUCGGAAUUACUGGGCGUAAAGCGUGCGCAGGCGGUUAUGUAAGACAGUUGUGAAAUCCCCGGGCUCAACCUGGGAACUGCAUCUGUGACUGCAUAGCUAGAGUACGGUAGAGGGGGAUGGAAUUCCGCGUGUAGCAGUGAAAUGCGUAGAUAUGCGGAGGAACACCGAUGGCGAAGCAAUCCCCUGGACCUGUACUGACGCUCAUGCACGAAAGCGUGGGGAGCAAACAGG